This 469-nucleotide ribosomal RNA is filed under the name uncultured bacterium. Its description in RNAcentral is "bacterial SSU rRNA". It matches the Rfam family "Bacterial small subunit ribosomal RNA", at positions 328 to 794 of the family's 1533-position model. The record is from RNAcentral.
GUACCAGACUCCUACGGGAGGCAGCAGUGAGGAAUAUUGGUCAAUGGGCGGGAGCCUGAACCAGCCAAGCCGCGUGAAGGAAGAAGGCGCCAGGCGUCGUAAACUUCUUUUGUCGGGGAACAAAGGGCGCCACGCGUGGCGUUGUGAGUGUACCCGAAGAAAAAGCAUCGGCUAACUCCGUGCCAGCAGCCGCGGUAAUACGUAGGUGGCAAGCGUUGUCCGGAUUUACUGGGUGUAAAGGGCGUGCAGCCGGGAGUGCAAGUCAGAUGUGAAAUCCCGCGGCUCAACCGCGGAACUGCAUUUGAAACUGUGCUUCUUGAGUGCUGGAGAGGCAGACGGAAUUCCUAGUGUAGCGGUGAAAUGCGUAGAUAUUAGGAGGAACACCAGUGGCGAAGGCGGUCUGCUGGACAGUAACUGACGGUGAGGCGCGAAGGCGUGGGGAGUAAACAGGAUUAGAUACCCCCGUACC